GAUUAAGUUAUUAAGGGCGCACGGUGGAUGCCUUGGCACUAGAAGCCGAUGAAGGACGUUACUAACGACGAUAUGCUUUGGGUAGCUGUAAGUAAGCGUUGAUCCAGAGAUUUCCGAAUGGGGGAACCCAGCAUGAGUUAUGUCAUGUUAUCGACAUGUGAAUUCAUAGCAUGUCAGAAGGCAGACCCGGAGAACUGAAACAUCUUAGUACCCGGAGGAAGAGAAAGAAAAAUCGAUUCCCUGAGUAGCGGCGAGCGAAACGGGAAGAGCCCAAACCAACAAGCUUGCUUGUUGGGGUUGUAGGACACUCUAUACGGAGUUACAAAAGAACAUGUUAGACGAAUCAUCUGGAAAGAUGAAUCAAAGAAGGUAAUAAUCCUGUAGUCGAAAACAUAUUCUCUCUUGAGUGGAUCCUGAGUACGACGGAGCACGUGAAAUUCCGUCGGAAUCUGGGAGGACCAUCUCCUAAGGCUAAAUACUCUCUAGUGACCGAUAGUGAACCAGUACCGUGAGGGAAAGGUGAAAAGUACCCCGGAAGGGGAGUGAAAGAGAACUUGAAACCGUGUGCUUACAAGUAGUCAGAGCCCGUUAAUGGGUGAUGGCGUGCCUUUUGUAGAAUGAACCGGCGAGUUACGAUCUGAUGCAAGGUUAAGCAGCAAAUGUGGAGCCGCAGCGAAAGCGAGUCUGAAUAGGGCGUUGAGUAUUUGGUCGUAGACCCGAAACCAGGUGAUCUACCCUUGGUCAGGUUGAAGUUCAGGUAACACUGAAUGGAGGACCGAACCGACUUACGUUGAAAAGUGAGCGGAUGAACUGAGGGUAGCGGAGAAAUUCCAAUCGAACUUGGAGAUAGCUGGUUCUCUCCGAAAUAGCUUUAGGGCUAGCCUCAAGUGAUGAUUAUUGGAGGUAGAGCACUGUUUGGACGAGGGGCCCCUCUCGGGUUACCGAAUUCAGACAAACUCCGAAUGCCAAUUAAUUUAACUUGGGAGUCAGAACAUGGGUGAUAAGGUCCGUGUUCGAAAGGGAAACAGCCCAGACCACCAGCUAAGGUCCCAAAAUAUAUGUUAAGUGGAAAAGGAUGUGGCGUUGCCCAGACAACUAGGAUGUUGGCUUAGAAGCAGCCAUCAUUUAAAGAGUGCGUAAUAGCUCACUAGUCGAGUGACACUGCGCCGAAAAUGUACCGGGGCUAAACAUAUUACCGAAGCUGUGGAUUGUCCUUUGGACAAUGGUAGGAGAGCGUUCUAAGGGCGUCGAAGCAUGAUCGCAAGGACAUGUGGAGCGCUUAGAAGUGAGAAUGCCGGUGUGAGUAGCGAAAGACGGGUGAGAAUCCCGUCCACCGAUUGACUAAGGUUUCCAGAGGAAGGCUCGUCCGCUCUGGGUUAGUCGGGUCCUAAGCUGAGGCCGACAGGCGUAGGCGAUGGAUAACAGGUUGAUAUUCCUGUACCACCUA
RNAcentral lists this ribosomal RNA (1447 nucleotides) under Actinomyces sp. RNAcentral describes it as "partial 23S ribosomal RNA". It matches the Rfam family "Bacterial large subunit ribosomal RNA", at positions 1 to 1450 of the family's 2925-position model. Lineage: Bacteria; Bacillati; Actinomycetota; Actinomycetes; Actinomycetales; Actinomycetaceae. The record is from RNAcentral.